UGCGGAAUUGUGUAACGGCAGCACGACAGACUCUGACUCUGUUUGUCUAGGUUCGAAUCCUAGUUCCGCAGCCA
Molecule: transfer RNA, 74 nt
Filed under: Clostridiales bacterium
Lineage: Bacteria; Bacillati; Bacillota; Clostridia; Eubacteriales
Description: tRNA-Gln
Rfam family: tRNA
About the family: Transfer RNA (tRNA) molecules are approximately 80 nucleotides in length. Their secondary structure includes four short double-helical elements and three loops (D, anti-codon, and T loops). Further hydrogen bonds mediate the characteristic L-shaped molecular structure. tRNAs have two regions of fundamental functional importance: the anti-codon, which is responsible for specific mRNA codon recognition, and the 3' end, to which the tRNAs corresponding amino acid is attached (by aminoacyl-tRNA synthetases). tRNAs cope with the degeneracy of the genetic code in two manners: having more than one tRNA (with a specific anti-codon) for a particular amino acid; and 'wobble' base-pairing, i.e. permitting non-standard base-pairing at the 3rd anti-codon position.
Source: RNAcentral